ACAGUGGGGAAUUUUGGACAAUGGGGGCUACCCUGAUCCAGCCAUGCCGCGUGAGUGAAGAAGGCCUUCGGGUUGUAAAGCUCUUUCGGCCGGGAAGAAAUCGCAUUGGUUAAUACCCAGUGUGGAUGACGGUACCGGAAUAAGAAGCACCGGCUAACUACGUGCCAGCAGCCGCGGUAAUACGUAGGGUGCGAGCGUUAAUCGGAAUUACUGGGCGUAAAGCGUGCGCAGGCGGUUUUGUAAGACAGGCGUGAAAUCCCCGGGCUCAACCUGGGAACUGCGUUUGUGACUGCAAGGCUAGAGUAUGGCAGAGGGGGGUGGAAUUCCACGUGUAGCAGUGAAAUGCGUAGAGAUGUGGAGGAACACCGAUGGCGAAGGCAGCCCCCUGGGCCAAUACUGACGCUCAUGCACGAAAGCGUGGGUAGCAAACAGGAUUAGAUACCCUGGUAGUCCACGCCCUAAACGAUGUCAACUAGGUGUUGGGUGGUAAACCAUUUAGUACCGGAGCUAACGCGUGAAGUUGACCGCCUGGNGAGUACGGCCGCAAGGUUAAAACUCAAGG
Molecule: ribosomal RNA, 562 nt
Filed under: Rhodocyclaceae bacterium enrichment culture clone B12
Lineage: Bacteria; Pseudomonadati; Pseudomonadota; Betaproteobacteria; Rhodocyclales; Rhodocyclaceae
Description: bacterial SSU rRNA
Rfam family: Bacterial small subunit ribosomal RNA
Source: RNAcentral